RNAcentral lists this ribosomal RNA (578 nucleotides) under uncultured Bacillota bacterium. Its description in RNAcentral is "bacterial SSU rRNA". It matches the Rfam family "Bacterial small subunit ribosomal RNA", at positions 24 to 573 of the family's 1533-position model. The record is from RNAcentral. Lineage: Bacteria; Bacillati; Bacillota.
UCAGGACGAACGCUGGCGGCGUGCUUAACACAUGCAAGUCGAACGAGACGAUUGAAAGCUUGCUUUUGAGAGUCGAGUGGCAAACGGGUGAGUAACGCGUAGACAACCUGCCGUAAAGAUGGGGACAACAGUUCGAAAGGACUGCUAAUACCGAAUGUUGUCGAACUUCCGCAUGGGAGCUCGACUAAAGAUGGCCUCUACUUGUAAGCUAUCGCUUUACGAUGGGUCUGCGUCUGAUUAGCUAGUUGGUGGGGUAACGGCCUACCAAGGCGACGAUCAGUAGCCGGUCUGAGAGGAUGAACGGCCACAUUGGAACUGAGAUACGGUCCAGACUCCUACGGGAGGCAGCAGUGGGGAAUCUUCCGCAAUGGGCGCAAGCCUGACGGAGCAACGCCGCGUGAGUGAAGAAGGGUUUCGACUCGUAAAGCUCUGUUGUCGUGGACGAAUGUGGAGAUGGUGAAUAACCAUUUUCAAUGACGGUACCUGACGAGGAAGCCACGGCUAACUACGUGCCAGCAGCCGCGGUAAUACGUAGGUGGCGAGCGUUGUCCGGAAUUAUUGGGCGUAAAGGGAGCGCA